UAGGGAAUAUUGGACAAUGAGUGAGAGCCUGAUCCAGCCAUGCCGCGUGCAGGAAGAAGGCGUUAUGCGUUGUAAACUGCUUUUGCCAGGGGAUAAAAAGACCGUGCGCGGUUAAUUGAAGGUACCUGGUGAAUAAGCCACGGCUAACUACGUGCCAGCAGCCGCGGUAAUACGUAGGUGGCAAGCGUUGUCCGGAUUUAUUGGGUUUAAAGGGUGCGUAGGUGGCCCUGUAAGUCAGUGGUGAAAUAUCUCAGCUUAACUGAGAGGGUGCCAUUGAUACUGCAGGGCUUGAGUACAGAUGAGGUAGGCGGAAUUGACGGUGUAGCGGUGAAAUGCAUAGAUAUCGUCAAGAACACCGAUAGCGAAGGCAGCUUACCAAGCUGUAACUGACACUGAGGCACGAAAGUGUGGGGAUCAAACAGGAUUAGAUACCCUAGUAGUCCCUGAGCGGGCUGGCAAGGCGCAU
This 466-nucleotide ribosomal RNA is filed under the name uncultured bacterium. RNAcentral describes it as "bacterial SSU rRNA". It matches the Rfam family "Bacterial small subunit ribosomal RNA", at positions 355 to 825 of the family's 1533-position model. The record is from RNAcentral.